UUUCUUAUUUCUAAAUUAAAUAGCUAUAUUCUGGAGGAAGUCAUGCGAUGGUAUCACAUCUUACAAUGAAUGGUGAAGUUAAAACACAGGUUCCGUGUACACCAAAUAGUGUCUUUUCAUUAGCUAUAAACAUAUCCUCUGAGACAAACAAGGUGCUAAGUGUUGCAGGUAGCAGUUCUCAAGUCGACAUCUUCACAAACUUCGGCUACCGAGCCUUUUCAUUUCAAGCCGUCCCAUGACUGAAUGUAAACAACUAAAGAAUCAUGGUACAAAUAUUUGAUAUUAUACUCCAGGUAGAUACAUUUCAUAGACUAAAUUUGACCGCUCAGUUUGUAUUUCACUGAUGUAAACAUCAGUCAACAAGCCUUAAAAAAAUACAUGUUAUAAUUUUAUUCAAAAUUAAAGAAAAAACCCUUCAUCUAAAUUACUACAAAACAUGUGCUUAGGCCUGGAGAAAAAAACUUGUUGCACAGCUGGUUGUACUAUGACAAUGAAGGUGUGUUUGACAAAAUAAUCUGGAACGAUUAAUAAGAUUCAAAUACAGGAGGAAAAAGAGGCACAACCACUGCUGAGAUUGAUUUGGUGAUUAUGUUUAGUUUCUGGUACAUUCUGUCUAGCAAUGCUACAAUACUCACAUGGAUGGAAUUGGUAGCGACACUAAUGAAUGGUACAGUAUGGUGUGUUUGAAACAAAAAAUUAAUAUACUUUAUUACUGUCGCAUUUUUAAUAAAAUCAUUUUGCUAUUGUGGUACAAAUAAUCUCAGUGCACUGAUUUUGUUUGUUUGUUUGUUUUUUUUUGUAUAAUUGUUUUGUACUGAAUAAAUAAAAAAAAAGUUAGAGUAGGUUUGGAAGAUAAAGUAUGAUUAAUAAUAAGAUGGUCAGAUUAAAAUA
This is a long non-coding RNA of Anneissia japonica, 891 nucleotides long. RefSeq lists it as uncharacterized. The transcript has 2 exons. The record is from RefSeq and is a predicted model, not a curated record. NCBI's taxonomy places the organism in Eukaryota, Metazoa, Echinodermata, Crinoidea, Comatulida, Comatulidae.